This 688-nucleotide ribosomal RNA is filed under the name Phytophthora x cambivora. RNAcentral describes it as "eukaryotic LSU rRNA". The stretch from base 238 to 392 matches the Rfam family "5.8S ribosomal RNA". Lineage: Eukaryota; Oomycota; Peronosporomycetes; Peronosporales; Peronosporaceae. The record is from RNAcentral.
UUACCACACCUAAAAAACUUUCCACGUGAACCGUAUCAACCCACUUAGUUGGGGGCUAGUCCCGGCGGCUGGCUGUCGAUGUCAAAGUUGACGGCUGCUGCUGUGUGUCGGGCCCUAUCAUGGCGAGCGUUUGGGUCCCUCUCGGGGGAACUGAGCCAGUAGCCCUUAUUUUUUAAACCCAUUCUUGAAUACUGAAUAUACUGUGGGGACGAAAGUCUCUGCUUUUAACUAGAUAGCAACUUUCAGCAGUGGAUGUCUAGGCUCGCACAUCGAUGAAGAACGCUGCGAACUGCGAUACGUAAUGCGAAUUGCAGGAUUCAGUGAGUCAUCGAAAUUUUGAACGCAUAUUGCACUUCCGGGUUAGUCCUGGGAGUAUGCCUGUAUCAGUGUCCGUACAUCAAACUUGGCUCUCUUCCUUCCGUGUAGUCGGUGGAUGGGGACGCCAGACGUGAGGUGUCUUGCGGGUGGUCUUCGGGCUGCCUGCGAGUCCCUUGAAAUGUACUGAACUGUACUUCUCUUUGCUCGAAAAGCGUGACGUUGUUGGUUGUGGAGGCUGCCUGUGUGGCCAGUCGGCGACCGGUUUGUCUGCUGCGGCGUUUAAUGGAGGAGUGUUCGAUUCGCGGUAUGGUUGGCUUCGGCUGAACAAUGCGCUUAUUGGACGUUCUUCCUGCUGUGGCGGUACGGAUCG